RNAcentral lists this ribosomal RNA (644 nucleotides) under Streptomyces sp. 3211_5. Its description in RNAcentral is "bacterial SSU rRNA". It matches the Rfam family "Bacterial small subunit ribosomal RNA", at positions 100 to 758 of the family's 1533-position model. Lineage: Bacteria; Bacillati; Actinomycetota; Actinomycetes; Kitasatosporales; Streptomycetaceae. RNAcentral also lists the same sequence under 4 other names. The record is from RNAcentral.
GAACGGGUGAGUAACACGUGGGCAAUCUGCCCUUCACUCUGGGACAAGCCCUGGAAACGGGGUCUAAUACCGGAUACCACUCCUGCCUGCAUGGGCGGGGGUUGAAAGCUCCGGCGGUGAAGGAUGAGCCCGCGGCCUAUCAGCUUGUUGGUGGGGUAAUGGCCCACCAAGGCGACGACGGGUAGCCGGCCUGAGAGGGCGACCGGCCACACUGGGACUGAGACACGGCCCAGACUCCUACGGGAGGCAGCAGUGGGGAAUAUUGCACAAUGGGCGAAAGCCUGAUGCAGCGACGCCGCGUGAGGGAUGACGGCCUUCGGGUUGUAAACCUCUUUCAGCAGGGAAGAAGCGAAAGUGACGGUACCUGCAGAAGAAGCGCCGGCUAACUACGUGCCAGCAGCCGCGGUAAUACGUAGGGCGCAAGCGUUGUCCGGAAUUAUUGGGCGUAAAGAGCUCGUAGGCGGCUUGUCACGUCGGAUGUGAAAGCCCGAGGCUUAACCUCGGGUCUGCAUUCGAUACGGGCUAGCUAGAGUGUGGUAGGGGAGAUCGGAAUUCCUGGUGUAGCGGUGAAAUGCGCAGAUAUCAGGAGGAACACCGGUGGCGAAGGCGGAUCUCUGGGCCAUUACUGACGCUGAGGAGCGAAA